This 463-nucleotide ribosomal RNA is filed under the name Streptococcus mitis. RNAcentral describes it as "bacterial SSU rRNA". It matches the Rfam family "Bacterial small subunit ribosomal RNA", at positions 28 to 475 of the family's 1533-position model. Lineage: Bacteria; Bacillati; Bacillota; Bacilli; Lactobacillales; Streptococcaceae. The record is from RNAcentral.
GACGAACGCUGGCGGCGUGCCUAAUACAUGCAAGUAGAACGCUGAAGGAGGAGCUUGCUUCUCUGGAUGAGUUGCGAACGGGUGAGUAACGCGUAGGUAACCUGCCUGGUAGCGGGGGAUAACUAUUGGAAACGAUAGCUAAUACCGCAUAAGAGUAGAUGUUGCAUGACAUUUGCUUAAAAGGUGCAAUUGCAUCACUACCAGAUGGACCUGCGUUGUAUUAGCUAGUUGGUGAGGUAACGGCUCACCAAGGCAACGAUACAUAGCCGACCUGAGAGGGUGAUCGGCCACACUGGGACUGAGACACGGCCCAGACUCCUACGGGAGGCAGCAGUAGGGAAUCUUCGGCAAUGGACGGAAGUCUGACCGAGCAACGCCGCGUGAGUGAAGAAGGUUUUCGGAUCGUAAAGCUCUGUUGUAAGAGAAGAAUGAGUGUGAGAGUGGAAAGUUCACACUGUGACGG